Molecule: small nuclear RNA, 103 nt
Organism: Hyaena hyaena (striped hyena)
Lineage: Eukaryota; Metazoa; Chordata; Mammalia; Carnivora; Hyaenidae
Source: RefSeq, a predicted model, not a curated record
GUGCUUCAAUAGUACAUAUACUAAUGUUAAAAUGACACAGAGAAGAUUAGCAUAGCCCUUGUGCAAGGAUGACACACAAAUUUAUGAAGCAUUCCAUGUAUUU